UACGUAGGGUGCAAGCGUUGUCCGGAAUUAUUGGGCGUAAAGAGCUCGUAGGCGGUCUGUCGCGUCGGCUGUGAAAACUCGGGGCUCAACUCCGAGCUUGCAGUCGAUACGGGCAGGCUAGAGUUCGGCAGGGGAGACUGGAAUUCCUGGUGUAGCGGUGAAAUGCGCAGAUAUCAGGAGGAACACCGGUGGCGAAGGCGACUUCCUGGACAGAUACUGACACUGAGGCACGAAAGCAUGGGGAGCAAACAGG
This 253-nucleotide ribosomal RNA is filed under the name uncultured bacterium. Its description in RNAcentral is "partial 16S ribosomal RNA". It matches the Rfam family "Bacterial small subunit ribosomal RNA", at positions 524 to 776 of the family's 1533-position model. The record is from RNAcentral.